This 604-nucleotide ribosomal RNA is filed under the name Cautires sp. UPOL 000074. RNAcentral describes it as "partial 16S ribosomal RNA". The stretch from base 380 to 538 matches the Rfam family "Bacterial large subunit ribosomal RNA", at positions 2473 to 2632 of the family's 2925-position model. The record is from RNAcentral. Lineage: Eukaryota; Metazoa; Arthropoda; Insecta; Coleoptera; Lycidae.
CAUGUCUUUUUGAUUUUAAUUUAAAGUUUAACCUGCUCAAUGAUUAAUAAAUAGCUGCAGUAUAUUAACUGUACAAAGGUAGCAUAAUAAUUAGUUUCUUAAUUAGGAACUGGAAUGAAUGGUUGGACAAGAAAAUUACUGUCUCUUUUUUAAUAUUUUUGAAUUUUAUUUUUAAGUGAAAAAGCUUAAAUUUAUAUAAAAGACGAGAAGACCCUAUAGAGUUUAAUAUUAUUUUUAUCAAUAAAUAAUUAGUAAGUUAAUUUAAUAAAUAAUAUUUAAUUGGGGUGAUUGAAAGAAAAAUAUAAUUCUUUUAUUUUUAAAUUGAUAAUUUUCAAUUUUAUAAUCUAAAAUUUUUAAAAUUAAAAUAAAUUACCUUAGGGAUAACAGCGUAAUUUUUCUUAAAAGUUCUUAUUAAAAGAAAAGUUUGCGACCUCGAUGUUGGAUUAAAAUUAAUUUUUGGUGCAAUAAUUUAAAAAUUAGGUCUGUUCGACCUUUAAAAUUUUACAUGAUCUGAGUUUAAACCGGUGUGAGCCAGGUUGGAUUCUAUCUUUAGAAAUUUAUUAUAUUUUAGUACGAAAGGACCAAAUAUAAAUUAAAUUAAUUG